Molecule: ribosomal RNA, 225 nt
Filed under: uncultured Vogesella sp.
Lineage: Bacteria; Pseudomonadati; Pseudomonadota; Betaproteobacteria; Neisseriales; Chromobacteriaceae
Description: partial 16S ribosomal RNA
Rfam family: Bacterial small subunit ribosomal RNA
Source: RNAcentral
CAUGCAGGCGGUUAGACAAGUCAGGUGUGAAAUCCCCGCGCUUAACGUGGGAACUGCGUUUGGAACUGUCAGACUAGAGUGCGUCAGAGGGGGGUGGAAUUCCGCGUGUAGCAGUGAAAUGCGUAGAGAUGCGGAGGAACACCGAUGGCGAAGGCAGCCCCCUGGGAUGACACUGACGCUCAUGCACGAAAGCGUGGGGAGCAAACAGGAUUAGAUACCCCUGUA